CGGCGGACGGGUGAGUAACGCGUGGGCAACCUGCCUCAUACAGGGGGAUAACAGUUAGAAAUGACUGCUAAUACCGCAUAAGCGCACAAGGCCGCAUGGCCCGGUGCGAAAAACUCCGGUGGUAUGGGAUGGGCCCGCGUCUGAUUAGCUGGUUGGCGGGGUAACGGCCCACCAAGGCGACGAUCAGUAGCCGACCUGAGAGGGUGGCCGGCCACAUUGGGACUGAGACACGGCCCAAACUCCUACGGAAGGCAGCAG
This 258-nucleotide ribosomal RNA is filed under the name uncultured bacterium. RNAcentral's name for it is "partial 16S ribosomal RNA". It matches the Rfam family "Bacterial small subunit ribosomal RNA", at positions 96 to 354 of the family's 1533-position model. The record is from RNAcentral.